This 503-nucleotide ribosomal RNA is filed under the name uncultured bacterium. Its description in RNAcentral is "bacterial SSU rRNA". It matches the Rfam family "Bacterial small subunit ribosomal RNA", at positions 28 to 521 of the family's 1533-position model. The record is from RNAcentral.
GAUGAACGCUAGCUACAGGCUUAACACAUGCAAGUCGAGGGGCAGCAGGGAUUUAGCUUGCUAAAUCCGCUGGCGACCGGCGCACGGGUGCGUAACGCGUAUCCAACUUUCCCGUUACUCAGGGAUAGCCUUCCGAAAGGGAGAUUAAUACCUGAUGGUGUUUGAAGUUCGCAUGUUCUUCAAACUAAAGAUUUAUCGGUAACGGAUAGGGAUGCGUGACAUUAGAUAGUAGGCGGGGUAACGGCCCACCUAGUCUACGAUGUCUAGGGGUUCUGAGAGGAAGGUCCCCCACACUGGAACUGAGACACGGUCCAGACUCCUACGGGAGGCAGCAGUGAGGAAUAUUGGUCAAUGGUCGGAAGACUGAACCAGCCAAGUAGCGUGAAGGAUGAAGGUUCUAUGGAUUGUAAACUUCUUUUAUACGGGAAUAAACCUCCCACGUGUGGGAGCUUGUAUGUACCGUAUGAAUAAGCAUCGGCUAACUCCGUGCCAGCAGCCGCGGU